GCUCCAGGGGCCGCCGCGCCGGCGUCGGCGCGAGGUCCAUAAAUCAACAAUUACACAGGGGCGUAUAUGCAAAAGAAACACACAGAGAGGAAAUAACCUAAAGAAAGAAAAAGACCAAAGGACUGGAUAUUAAUUCUGUGUGGGUUCGAGGGGCUGAUUAGCUUAAUUUACUUGGCUAAACUAGCCAAGGGUUUGGUCUGAUGGAAUGGAGGAUGGGGGAAGGCAGAGGAGGUAUUUAAGGGAAGGGAAGGCCCUAAGGGGUCCCACACAAACAAUGCUUAAU
This 283-nucleotide long non-coding RNA is filed under the name Oryza brachyantha (malo sina). Its description in RNAcentral is "long non-coding RNA (OBRA_LNC001345)". Lineage: Eukaryota; Viridiplantae; Streptophyta; Magnoliopsida; Poales; Poaceae. The record is from RNAcentral.